Molecule: ribosomal RNA, 253 nt
Filed under: uncultured bacterium
Lineage: Bacteria
Description: partial 16S ribosomal RNA
Rfam family: Bacterial small subunit ribosomal RNA
Source: RNAcentral
UACGUAGGGUGCAAGCGUUGUCCGGAAUUAUUGGGCGUAAAGAGCUUGUAGGCGGUUUGUCGCGUCUGCUGUGAAAUUUCGGGGCUCAACCUCGGGCUUGCAGUGGGUACGGGCAGACUAGAGUGCGGUAGGGGUGACUGGAAUUCCUGGUGUAGCGGUGGAAUGCGCAGAUAUCAGGAGGAACACCGAUGGCGAAGGCAGGUCACUGGGCCGCAACUGACGCUGAGGAGCGAAAGCAUGGGGAGCGAACAGG